AGUGAACGCUGGCGGUAGGCCUAACACAUGCAAGUCGAACGGCAGCACAGUAAGAGCUUGCUCUUACGGGUGGCGAGUGGCGGACGGGUGAGGAAUACAUCGGAAUCUACUUUUUCGGGGGGGAUAACGUAGGGAAACUUACGCUAAUACCGCAUACGACCUACGGGUGAAAGCAGGGGAUCUUCGGACCUGCCGCAAUUGAAUGAGCCGAGUUCGGAUUAGCUAGUUGUCGGGGUAAAGGCCCACCAAGGCGACGAUCCGUAGCUGGUCUGAGAGGAUGAUCAGCCACACUGGAACUGAGACACGGUCCAGACUCCUACGGGAGGCAGCAGUGGGGAAUAUUGGACAAUGGGCGCAAGCCUGAUCCAGCCAUACCGCGUGGGUGAAGAAGGCCUUCGGGUUGUAAAGCCCUUUUGUUGGGAAAGAAAAGCAGCAGGUUAAUACCCCGCUGUUCUGACGGUACCCAGAGAAUAAGCACCGGCUAACUUCGUG
Molecule: ribosomal RNA, 492 nt
Filed under: uncultured bacterium
Lineage: Bacteria
Description: partial 16S ribosomal RNA
Rfam family: Bacterial small subunit ribosomal RNA
Source: RNAcentral